CCUACGGGAGGCAGCAGUGGGGAAUAUUGGACAAUGGGCGAAAGCCUGAUCCAGCCAUGCCGCGUGUGUGAAGAAGGUCUUCGGAUUGUAAAGCACUUUAAGUUGGGAGGAAGGGCAGUAAGUUAAUACCUUGCUGUUUUGACGUCACCAACAGAAUAAGCACCGGCUAACUUCGUGCCAGCAGCCGCGGUAAUACGAAGGGUGCAAGCGUUAAUCGGAAUUACUGGGCGUAAAGCGCGCGUAGGUGGUUUGGUAAGAUGGAUGUGAAAUCCCCGGGCUCAACCUGGGAACUGCAUCCAUAACUGCCUGACUAGAGUACGGUAGAGGGUGGUGGAAUUUCCUGUGUAGCGGUGAAAUGCGUAGAUAUAGGAAGGAACACCAGUGGCGAAGGCGACCACCUGGACUGAUACUGACACUGAGGUGCGAAAGCGUGGGGGGCAAACAGGAUUAGAUACCCUGGUAGUCCACGCCGUAAACGAUGUCGACUAGCCGUUGGAAUCCUUGAGAUUUUAGUGGCGCAGCUAACGCGAUAAGUCGACCGCCUGGGGAGUACGGCCGCAAGGUUAAAACUCAAAUGAAUUGACGG
Molecule: ribosomal RNA, 586 nt
Filed under: uncultured bacterium
Lineage: Bacteria
Description: bacterial SSU rRNA
Rfam family: Bacterial small subunit ribosomal RNA
Source: RNAcentral